GACGAACGCUGGCGGCGCGCCUAACACAUGCAAGUCGAACGAGCGAGAGAGAGCUUGCUUUCUCAAGCGAGUGGCGAACGGGUGAGUAACGCGUGAGGAACCUGCCUCAAAGAGGGGGACAACAGUUGGAAACGACUGCUAAUACCGCAUAAGCCCACGGAACCGCAUGGUUCAGAGGGAAAAGGAGCAAUUCGCUUUGGGAUGGACUCGCGUCCGAUUAGCUAGAUGGUGAGGUAACGGCCCACCAUGGCGACGAUCGGUAGCCGGACUGAGAGGUUGAUCGGCCACAUUGGGACUGAGACACGGCCCAG
RNAcentral lists this ribosomal RNA (311 nucleotides) under uncultured bacterium. Its description in RNAcentral is "bacterial SSU rRNA". It matches the Rfam family "Bacterial small subunit ribosomal RNA", at positions 28 to 334 of the family's 1533-position model. The record is from RNAcentral.